Zophobas morio is the source of this 1854-nucleotide long non-coding RNA. RefSeq lists it as uncharacterized. NCBI's taxonomy places the organism in Eukaryota, Metazoa, Arthropoda, Insecta, Coleoptera, Tenebrionidae. The record is from RefSeq and is a predicted model, not a curated record. The transcript has 2 exons.
AUUUUCGUUACAUAACCUCUUCCGAAUUUGCUUUUUCUUUGUUAGUUUUACUUUUGUCUAAUUUGUUUCGCAAACACACGUUCCAGGGUUGUAAAUUAUAUUACUCAUUUAUAUUAAAUUAUUUAUUGUCUUUAAUCUACUUUUAUACCAUUUGUAAUCAAAGUCGGUAUUCAUUAAUUCCAGGCAAUAUUAUUUGAAAUAACGUGGAAAUGUUUUAAUGGCGAAAAGAUUUGUUUCUUCAAGAUAAUCAGUAAUCUAGGAAAUUGAUCAAUUUUUGAUUUUGUUGGAAUGACCGUGAACUACUGAACUCACAGAUACUUAAAAGAGAUGAACUAUAUGAAUUUCAUUCUAGAGCACAGCAAAAAUACCCACAGGGGGCGCUGUAGCACGAGGGGACUUUGGGGCUCCUGGUCGUGGCUGUUCUCUUACCCACAACGAUGAUUCUAGUCUAUCGCAAGCACUGUCGCCCAGCUCUAUCACCAAGAAACGUGCCUAGACGAUCAUUACGGUCGCAAACUAGUGGUUAGGUCCCGGCUAUUUCGCCAAGCCGACAGCGACAAAAGAUCUGGUGUGAAGUAAAACUUGUAUAGACAAAAAAAUUACGUGAGGUUUGGAACUGCAGAGCAUGAAAAUUUACCUUCAAUUUAAAUUAUACAGCAAAGAAAAUUACUGAGGCUAAAAUUGUGAGAUGGAGAAAAAUUGUAUGAGGUGAAAAAUUGCAAUGCUAACAAAAUUACAUAAGUUUAACAUUUUAUGUCCAUUUGAGUCAUUGCGUAAUUUUUAAAAGUAAAGUUAUUCAGCUGUAUUGUAGCAGAAAAUUUGUAGGUUCAAAAUGGCAUCGGACGAAUGCGUCGUACAAAAAAAAGUGCGUCAAAAAUAUGUCUCCCAGAAAUGAGAUCAAUCCUGUGGCGCUGUGCAAAUCAUGAUCUAAAUCAAAGGAAUACAAUGCACGUCCCCCAUGACCCACAAUGUUGUUAAUUUGGUCAACGAGAUUUUACAGUUCAAACAUGUGCUCGGUUUGAAAAUACUCUUUCAAUGUGGCCGCUGCCAAAACAAAGAAUUUACCUAAUGUUAAAUUAUGCCACACUUUAUCAACAAUUCAAAAAAAGAAGUUACAUUAUGUUAAAUUAUGCCACACUUUAUCAAGAUUCAAUCAAAGAAUUUACAUUAUGUUAAAUGAUGCCUUGAUCCAAGUGACUGGUUACUUACAACAAUUAGCUUUGAGAGUUUAUAUCGUGAACUGUCUCCAGCUUAUCGCAAACAAACACAUGAUAAAUAAACACGACAUGCAUCCGGCGUUACCAGAAAAGCUUCUCGGUGAUGUAAUUUUCCACGUUGCGAGAAAAAUGUCUCGGUGAUAUAGCUUUCCACGUUGCGAGAAAAUGUUUCGGUGAUGUGAUGUAGAUAUGAUUAUAAUAAUCGCCUAAGGGGAGAGAUUUUUUAAAUCUCCGUCCCUCAGUCCACGAUAUUAUGAAUGCUCUAUUUAAACAAUCUCUGACGGUUAAACUUGUGUUAGAACCAGUUAACGAUUAAAAUCCUAACAUGAACUGUGAAUUUACAAACAAUAAAACAAAUUUACACCACGUGUUAGCAUAUUUCCGCUUGGAAAAAACGCAAGAAUUAGCUACGCGUGUUGGGGAAACUGUGGCAUCGCAAUCGCUAACUCACCAGGUGGUUACACUCACAACAAACAAACCAAAAGUGACGCCUCAUCUACCAAGCCAGCCAUCUUCUCGCUACCAACCCUCUAGCUAAAAUUGCGUAGCAGAACUACCAGCUACCAGAAGAAAAAUUCGAUAUUUUAUGUAUUUGUUGUAUAUUUCUCAAGAACUCCAACAUGUGAUGAUUUGAUGA